Molecule: ribosomal RNA, 275 nt
Filed under: uncultured bacterium
Lineage: Bacteria
Description: partial 16S ribosomal RNA
Rfam family: Bacterial small subunit ribosomal RNA
Source: RNAcentral
GCGUGGGUGAUGAAGGCCUUAGGGUUGUAAAGCCCUUUCGCGCGCGACGAUGAUGACGGUAGCGCGAGAAGAAGCCUCGGCUAACUCCGUGCCAGCAGCCGCGGUAAGACGGAGGAGGCUAGCGUUGUUCGGAAUUACUGGGCGUAAAGCGUGCGCAGGCGGCCUGGUUAGUCGGAGGUGAAAUCCCGGGGCUCAACUCCGGAACUGCCUCCGAGACGGCUAGGCUUGAGCGAAGGAGAGGAGAGCGGAAUUCCCAGUGUAGAGGUGAAAUUCGU